Molecule: long non-coding RNA, 763 nt
Organism: Mya arenaria
Lineage: Eukaryota; Metazoa; Mollusca; Bivalvia; Myida; Myidae
Exons: 3
Source: RefSeq, a predicted model, not a curated record
CAUAUUUUGGAAAAGUACAACUUCAAAUGUUCUAGGACUUCGAUUAUUGUUGUAGGUCGUUCGAUGGAAUGCCAUUCAUUUCCUGUUGACGAUUGUCGCCACGCAAGGUGCUUUGGUGCUGACAUCCGACCAACAGUUUGCACAACUUCAGGGUGAUAUAACUUUAACCUGCAACACGAGUGUUACGUCGGUAGAGUUUAAAAAAGAUACCAAAUAUGUGGGAAGAUGCAGCACGUUUGGAUGUGAGACAUCAAAUACAACCAAGUUCCUUUUGAUCGGAAAUACAGAGCCUGCUGGAUACAACGUAUUCAGCUUAACAAUUAUGGAUUUUUUGGUGAACGACCGAGGCUAUUAUACAUGCUUAAAUUCUUAUUUAAUCGAACAGGUUUCUGGAACACACAUCACAUAUGCAGCCUCUCUUCAACUUGGGCGAAGAAUUACUGCUUUCCGACCUUCAAAGAACAGCAUGCAUCAGUUUGUACGGGGGAAACGACGUGCAAACUCUUCACCAGUUACGAUGCAUCAUAGCCAAGUCUUCUGUUUAUCCCAGGAACAUUCCCCCAACCGCUGACAGUCUCAAUCUUCAUCUGCAAAGAUGUGUGAUCCAGUUGUGGAUAUAGAGACACGCCACUACAGCACAACACGAUCUUCCUCCAUUUACCUUCUUUGGAUAUGAAAUAGACGGAGAUGGUUUGACACCAAAAAUGAUGAGUCAGCCAGCCGCUGCACCAGAACUCUUGAACGACCUCGUUGGCGGAUGCGA